AGCAGCCGCGGUAAUUCCAGCUCCAAUAGCGUAUAUUAAAGUUGUUGCAGUUAAAAAGCUCGUAGUUGAACUUCGGGGUCUACCCAUUGGUCAGGCUUAAUUGUCUGCACUGGUGGGAUGGAUCUCUACCUUCUGAGGAACUUUCAUGCCAUUUAUUUGGUGUGAUUGGAAAUCAGGACUGUUACUUUGAAAAAUUGAGUGUUUAAAGCAGACUAUCGUCUGAAUACAUUAGCAUGGAAUAAUGAAAUAGGACGGACUGAUUCUAUUUCGUUGGUUUCUAGGAUCACCGUAAUGAUUAAUAGGGAUAGUUGGGGGCAUUAGUAUUCAAUUGUCAGAGGUGAAAUUCUUGGAUUUAUUGAAGACUAACUACUGCGAAAGCAUUUGCCAAGGAUGUUUUCAUUAAUCAAGAACGAAAGUUAGG
This 421-nucleotide unclassified non-coding RNA is filed under the name uncultured Archaeospora. RNAcentral describes it as "SSU rRNA". It matches the Rfam family "Eukaryotic small subunit ribosomal RNA", at positions 569 to 994 of the family's 1831-position model. Lineage: Eukaryota; Fungi; Glomeromycota; Glomeromycetes; Archaeosporales; Archaeosporaceae. The record is from RNAcentral.